UACGAAGGGGGCUCGCGUUGCUCGGAAUCACUGUGCGUAAAGGGUGCGUAGGCUGGGCUUUAAGUCAGGGGUGAAAUCCUGGAGCUCAACUCCAGAACUGCCUUUGAUACUGAAGAUCUUGAGUUCGGGAGAGGUGAGUGGAACUGCGAGUGUAGAGGUGAAAUUCGUAGAUAUUCGCAAGAACACCAGUGGCGAAGGCGGCUCACUGGCCCGGUACUGACGCUGAGGCACGAAAGCGUGGGGAGCAAACAGG
Molecule: ribosomal RNA, 253 nt
Filed under: uncultured bacterium
Lineage: Bacteria
Description: partial 16S ribosomal RNA
Rfam family: Bacterial small subunit ribosomal RNA
Source: RNAcentral